RNAcentral lists this ribosomal RNA (447 nucleotides) under uncultured bacterium. Its description in RNAcentral is "partial 16S ribosomal RNA". It matches the Rfam family "Bacterial small subunit ribosomal RNA", at positions 329 to 793 of the family's 1533-position model. The record is from RNAcentral.
GCCCAGACUCCUACGGGAGGCAGCAGUGGGGAAUAUUGCACAAUGGGGGAAACCCUGAUGCAGCGACGCCGCGUGAGCGAUGAAGUAUUUCGGUAUGUAAAGCUCUAUCAGCAGGGAAGAAAAUGACGGUACCUGACUAAGAAGCCCCGGCUAACUACGUGCCAGCAGCCGCGGUAAUACGUAGGGGGCAAGCGUUAUCCGGAUUUACUGGGUGUAAAGGGAGCGUAGACGGCUGUGCAAGCCAGAUGUGAAAGCCCGGGGCUCAACCCCGGGACUGCAUUUGGAACUGUGUGGCUGGAGUGUCGGAGAGGCAGGCGGAAUUCCUAGUGUAGCGGUGAAAUGCGUAGAUAUUAGGAGGAACACCAGUGGCGAAGGCGGCCUGCUGGACGAUGACUGACGUUGAGGCUCGAAAGCGUGGGGAGCAAACAGGAUUAGAUACCCCGGUAC